AAGUUCAACUUCCUUUUAUAGCAGCCAAUCAGCUUUCAGCACAGAAUUAUAAAGCUGCUCUUGUACAAGUUUAAGUGUAGAGUGUAGAGAUGCCCACGUCUUGUCUACGACUUAAAAGAUUACUCCUGUCCUACAAACACUGAGAGUUUAGCAAUGAUUUCAUUGUAUGUAAUGGUUUUGCUCUCAUCAGCAGUAGGUAGCCCUUCAAAGAUUGACAUUCCCUGUUUAGGUGGGAUGAGGUUCAUUCAGAGCGGGCAAAGCAUCACUCUGAAUUGUCCUUCUCUCACUUUUAAUGCAAUAACAACUACAUGGUUCAAACAGACUCCAGGAGAAAAGCUUCUUCUCAUUGCUUCUGCUGUUCGUUCAACUACAGUUAAAUAUCACAAUGGUUUUGACAAGAGUGGCCGCUUUAAUGCAUCGAGGGAACAAAGCAGUUUU
Long non-coding RNA from Colossoma macropomum (tambaqui), 438 nucleotides. RefSeq lists it as uncharacterized. NCBI's taxonomy places the organism in Eukaryota, Metazoa, Chordata, Actinopteri, Characiformes, Serrasalmidae. The record is from RefSeq and is a predicted model, not a curated record. The transcript is spliced from 3 exons.